RNAcentral lists this ribosomal RNA (211 nucleotides) under uncultured bacterium. Its description in RNAcentral is "partial 16S ribosomal RNA". It matches the Rfam family "Bacterial small subunit ribosomal RNA", at positions 1290 to 1500 of the family's 1533-position model. The record is from RNAcentral.
AGUUCAGAUCGCAGUCUGCAACCCGACUGCGUGAAGUCGGAAUCGCUAGUAAUCGCGGAUCAGCAUGCCGCGGUGAAUACGUUCCCGGGCCUUGUACACACCGCCCGUCACACCAUGAGAGUCGGGAACACCCGAAGUCCGUAGCCUAACCGCAAGGGGGGCGCGGCCGAAGGUGGGUUCGAUAAUUGGGGUGAAGUCGUAACAAGGUAUC